AACGAACGCUGGCGGCAUGCCUAACACAUGCAAGUCGAACGAGACCUUCGGGUCUAGUGGCGCACGGGUGCGUAACGCGUGGGAACCUGCCCUUAGGUUCGGAAUAACUCCCCGAAAGGGGUGCUAAUACCGGAUAAUGUCUUCGGACCAAAGAUUUAUCGCCUUUGGAUGGGCCCGCGUUGGAUUAGCUAGUUGGUAGGGUAAAAGCCUACCAAGGCGACGAUCCAUAGCUGGUAUGAGAGGAUGAUCAGCCACACUGGGACUGAGACACGGCCCAGACUCCUACGGGAGGCAGCAGUGGGGAAUAUAGGAAAAUGGGCGAAAGCCUGAUACAGCAAUGCCGCGUGAGUGAUGAAGGCCUUAGGGUUGUAAAGCUCUUUUACCCGGGAUGAUAAUGACAGUACCGGGAGAAUAAGCUCCGGCUAACUCCGUG
This 433-nucleotide ribosomal RNA is filed under the name uncultured bacterium. RNAcentral's name for it is "partial 16S ribosomal RNA". It matches the Rfam family "Bacterial small subunit ribosomal RNA", at positions 29 to 507 of the family's 1533-position model. The record is from RNAcentral.